RNAcentral lists this ribosomal RNA (216 nucleotides) under Glomeromycotina sp. RNAcentral describes it as "partial small subunit ribosomal RNA". The stretch from base 40 to 216 matches the Rfam family "Eukaryotic small subunit ribosomal RNA", at positions 686 to 864 of the family's 1831-position model. The record is from RNAcentral. Lineage: Eukaryota; Fungi; Glomeromycota.
GGGUCAGUAGGUUGGUCGUGCCACCGGUACGUACUGGUCUCACUGAUUCCUCCUUCCUGAAGAACCGUAAUGCCAUUAAUUUGGUGUUGCGGGGAAACAGGACUGUUACUUUGAAAAAAUUAGAGUGUUUAAAGCAAGCUAACGCUUGGAUACAUUAGCAUGGAGUAAUGAAAUAGGACGAUCGAUCCUAUUUUGUUGGUUUCUAGGAUUGACGUA